RNAcentral lists this ribosomal RNA (465 nucleotides) under uncultured bacterium. Its description in RNAcentral is "partial 16S ribosomal RNA". It matches the Rfam family "Bacterial small subunit ribosomal RNA", at positions 338 to 795 of the family's 1533-position model. The record is from RNAcentral.
CCUACGGGAGGCUGCAGUGGGGAAUAUUGCGCAAUGGGCGAAAGCCUGACGCAGCGACGCCGCGUGAGGGAUGAAGGUCUUCGGAUCGUAAACCUCUGUCAGCAGGGAAGAAAGGUCACUGUGCUAAUCAGCAGUGAAUUGACGGUACCUGCAAAGGAAGCCCCGGCUAACUCCGUGCCAGCAGCCGCGGUAAUACGGAGGGUGCGAGCGUUGAUCGGAAUUAAUGGGCGUAAAGCGCGCGUAGGCGGUAUGUAAAGUCAAGGGUGAAAUCCCCGGGCUCAACGUGGGAACUGCCUUUGAAACUGGCAAACUGGAGUGUGGGAGAGGAGAGUGGAAUUCCAGGUGUAGGGGUGAAAUGCGUAGAUAUCUGGAGGAACAUCAGUGGCGAAGGCGACUAUCUGGCACAUAACUGACGCUGAGGAUCGAAAGCGUGGGUAGCAAACAGGAUUAGAUACCCGGGUAGUC